AAGCAGGGGAUCGCAAGACCUUACGCUUUUGGAGCGGCCGAUGUCUGAUUAGCUAGUUGGUGAGGUAAAGGCUUACCAAGGCUACGAUCAGUAGCUGGUCUGAGAGGACGACCAGCCACACUGGGACUGAGACACGGCCCAGACUCCUACGGGAGGCAGCAGUGGGGAAUUUUGGACAAUGGGCGAAAGCCUGAUCCAGCCAUGCCGCGUGAGUGAAGAAGGCCUUCGGGUUGUAAAGCUCUUUCAGCCGGAACGAAACGGUUACGAUUAAUACCUGUAACUAAUGACGGUACCGAAAGAAGAAGCACCGGCUAACUACGUGCCAGCAGCCGCGGUAAUACGUAGGGUGCAAGCGUUAAUCGGAAUUACUGGGCGUAAAGGGUGCGCAGGUGGUUUUGUAAGUCAGAUGUGAAAUCCCCGGGCUUAACCUGGGAACUGCGUUUGAAACUACAAAGCUAGAGU
Molecule: ribosomal RNA, 462 nt
Filed under: uncultured ammonia-oxidizing beta proteobacterium
Lineage: Bacteria; Pseudomonadati; Pseudomonadota; Betaproteobacteria
Description: bacterial SSU rRNA
Rfam family: Bacterial small subunit ribosomal RNA
Source: RNAcentral